RNAcentral lists this ribosomal RNA (254 nucleotides) under uncultured bacterium. RNAcentral describes it as "partial 16S ribosomal RNA". It matches the Rfam family "Bacterial small subunit ribosomal RNA", at positions 524 to 776 of the family's 1533-position model. The record is from RNAcentral.
UACGGGGGGGGGCAAGCGUUGUUCGGAAUUACUGGGCGUAAAGGGCUCGUAGGCGGCCAACUAAGUCCGACGUGAAAUCCCCAGGCUUAACCUGGGAACUGCGUCGGAUACUGGAUGGCUUGAAUUCGGGAGAGGGAUGCAGAAUUCCAGGUGUAGCGGUGAAAUGCGUAGAUAUCUGGAGGAAUACCGGUGGCGAAGGCGGCAUCCUGGACCGACAUUGACGCUGAGGAGCGAAAGCUAGGGGAGCAAACGGG